AGUGAACGCUGGCGGUAGGCCUAACACAUGCAAGUCGAACGGCAGCACAGUAAGAGCUUGCUCUUACGGGUGGCGAGUGGCGGACGGGUGAGGAAUACAUCGGAAUCUACUUUUUCGUGGGGGAUAACGUAGGGAAACUUACGCUAAUACCGCAUACGACCUACGGGUGAAAGCAGGGGAUCUUCGGACCUUGCGCGAUUGAAUGAGCCGAUGUCGGAUUAGCUAGUUGGCGGGGUAAAGGCCCACCAAGGCGACGAUCCGUAGCUGGUCUGAAAGGAUGAUCAGCCACACUGGAACUGAGACACGGUCCAGACUCCUACGGGAGGCAGCAGUGGGGAAUAUUGGACAAUGGGCGCAAGCCUGAUCCAGCCAUACCGCGUGGGUGAAGAAGGCCUUCGGGUUGUAAAGCCCUCUUGUUGGGAAAGAAAAGCAGCAGGUUAAUACCCCGCUGUUCUGACGGUACCCAAAGAAUAAGCACCGGCUAACUUCGUG
This 492-nucleotide ribosomal RNA is filed under the name uncultured bacterium. RNAcentral's name for it is "partial 16S ribosomal RNA". It matches the Rfam family "Bacterial small subunit ribosomal RNA", at positions 29 to 507 of the family's 1533-position model. The record is from RNAcentral.